AGCAGCCGCGGUAAUUCCAGCUCCAAUAGCGUAUAUUAAAGUUGUUGCAGUUAAAAAGCUCGUAGUUGAAUUUCGGGGUCAGUAGGUUGGUCAUGCCACUGGUAUGUACUGGUCUCACUGAUUCCUCCUUCCUGAUGAACUGUAAUGCCAUUAAUUUGGUGUUGCAGGGAAUCUGGACUGUUACUUUGAAAAAUUAGAGUGUUUAAAGCAGGCUAACGCCUGAAUACAUUAGCAUGGAAUAAUGAAAUAGGACGUUCGAUCCUAUUUUGUUGGUUUCUAGGAUUGACGUAAUGAUUAAUAGGGAUAGUUGGGGGCAUUAGUAUUCAGUUGUCAGAGGUGAAAUUCUUGGAUUUAUUGAAGACUAACUACUGCGAAAGCAUUUGCCAAGGAUGUUUUCAUUAAUCAAGAACGAAAGUUAGGGGAUCGAAGACGAUCAGAUACCGUCGUAGUCUUAACCAUAAACUAUGCCGACUAGGGAUCGGAUGAUGUUAAUUUUUAAUGUACUCU
Molecule: ribosomal RNA, 507 nt
Filed under: uncultured Glomus
Lineage: Eukaryota; Fungi; Glomeromycota; Glomeromycetes; Glomerales; Glomeraceae
Description: SSU rRNA
Rfam family: Eukaryotic small subunit ribosomal RNA
Source: RNAcentral